RNAcentral lists this ribosomal RNA (253 nucleotides) under uncultured bacterium. Its description in RNAcentral is "partial 16S ribosomal RNA". It matches the Rfam family "Bacterial small subunit ribosomal RNA", at positions 524 to 776 of the family's 1533-position model. The record is from RNAcentral.
UACGGAGGGUGCAAGCGUUAUCCGGAUUUACUGGGUUUAAAGGGUGUGUAGGCGGACUUUUAAGUCAGGGGUGAAAUCCCGAGGCUCAACCUCGGAACUGCCUUUGAUACUAUUGGUCUUGAAUGUUGUUGAGGUGGGCGGAACGGGUCAUGUAGCGGUGAAAUGCAUAGAUAUGACCCGGAACACCGAUUGCGAAGGCAGUCCGCUAAGCAACUAUUGACGCUGAGGCACGAAAGCGUGGGGAUCAAACAGG